Episyrphus balteatus (marmalade hoverfly) is the source of this 543-nucleotide long non-coding RNA. RefSeq lists it as uncharacterized. The transcript has 2 exons. Lineage: Eukaryota; Metazoa; Arthropoda; Insecta; Diptera; Syrphidae. The record is from RefSeq and is a predicted model, not a curated record.
AAUCUUCAAAAAUUUCAUUUGAUUGAUGGCGAAUGCUGUUGCCACUGCCACCAUUUCCGUUGGCGAAAAGGUUGCUAUUGCCAAUGGUGGCAUAUGAUGGUCGGAUUAGGAAAUUGAACUUACUUUUCCAAUCUCCUCUCGGACUCUGAUGGAACUUCGAAUAUUUCAGCAAUUGCUGGAUCGGCGUGGAGAUGAGAUGAUGACCUCUUGCCAUUUGUCCAACCUCGGGAAUAUUGGAACAUUUGUCCCAUGCAGCUGAAGAUGAUGGCAAACGAGACCAAAGAGAAGACAGCGAAACGAAGCAUGAUGUGUAUUGAUAAUCUAUUUGAAAAAGUAGAAAAUGUAACAAGUGAAUAGAAGUGACAUCUGUAUGCGAAGUUAAAGGAAAAUGGUUGUGAUAUAUGUUAGGUUGUAAUACGAGGUUCAAAGAGGGGUUCAAUAUUUUGAUGGAAGAGAACAAUGAAUGUCAAACUUAAACAGUUUUGGAAGCUCAAUCUAUUUAGCUAUAAUUUUCUGUAGAGUAAACUAUCCAUUUUUAUAGAA